This 492-nucleotide ribosomal RNA is filed under the name uncultured bacterium. Its description in RNAcentral is "partial 16S ribosomal RNA". It matches the Rfam family "Bacterial small subunit ribosomal RNA", at positions 29 to 507 of the family's 1533-position model. The record is from RNAcentral.
AGUGAACGCUGGCGGUAGGCCUAACACAUGCAAGUCGAACGGCAGCACAGUAAGAGCUUGCUCUUACGGGUGGCGAGUGGCGGACGGGUGAGGAAUACAUCGGACUCUACUUUUUCGUGGGGGAUAACGUAGGGAACCUUACGCUAAUACCGCAUACGACCUACGGGUGAAAGCAGGGGAUCUUCGGACCUUGCGCGAGUGAAUGAGCCGAUGUCGGAUUAGCUAGUUGGCGGGGUAAAGGCCCACCAAGGCGACGAUCCGUAGCUGGUCUGAGAGGAUGAUCAGCCACACUGGAACUUAGACACGGUCCAUACUCCUACGAGAGGCAGCAGUGGGGAAUAUUGGACAAUGGGCGCAAGCCUUAUCCAGCCAUACCGCGUGGGUGAAGAAGGCCUUCGGGUUGUAAAGCCCUUUUGUUGGGAAAGAAAAGCAGCAGGUUAAUACCCCGCUGUUCUGACGGUACCCAAAGAAUAAGCACCGGCUAACUUCGUG